AAGGUUGACCUCGGAUCAGGUAG
RNAcentral lists this ribosomal RNA (23 nucleotides) under Colletotrichum gloeosporioides. RNAcentral describes it as "partial 28S ribosomal RNA". The record is from RNAcentral. RNAcentral also lists the same sequence under 1 other name. Lineage: Eukaryota; Fungi; Ascomycota; Sordariomycetes; Glomerellales; Glomerellaceae.